AUGCUCCCUUUGGCAGCACACAUACUGAAAUUGGAACGAUACAGAGAAGGUUAGCAUGGCCCCUAUGCAAGGGUGACACACACAGGGAAGCGUUCCCUGUGCGG
Molecule: small nuclear RNA, 104 nt
Filed under: Castor canadensis (American beaver)
Lineage: Eukaryota; Metazoa; Chordata; Mammalia; Rodentia; Castoridae
Source: RNAcentral